This 253-nucleotide ribosomal RNA is filed under the name uncultured bacterium. Its description in RNAcentral is "partial 16S ribosomal RNA". It matches the Rfam family "Bacterial small subunit ribosomal RNA", at positions 524 to 776 of the family's 1533-position model. The record is from RNAcentral.
UACGUAGGGUGCAAGCGUUAAUCGGAAUUACUGGGCGUAAAGGGUGCGUAGGCGGGUCUUUAAGUCAGGGGUGAAAUCCUGGAGCUCAACUCCAGAACUGCCUUUGAUACUGAAGAUCUUGAGUUCGGGAGAGGUGAGUGGAACUGCGAGUGUAGAGGUGAAAUUCGUAGAUAUUCGCAAGAACACCAGUGGCGAAGGCGGCUCACUGGCCCGAUACUGACGCUGAGGCACGAAAGCGUGGGGAGCAAACAGG